This is an RNA transcript of Gossypium arboreum, 4117 nucleotides long. It is a transcript of the gene named protein PHOX1-like, with no coding region annotated. The transcript has 3 exons. The record is from RefSeq and is a predicted model, not a curated record. NCBI's taxonomy places the organism in Eukaryota, Viridiplantae, Streptophyta, Magnoliopsida, Malvales, Malvaceae.
UUCACGUUAAGCUGAAAUUCACGUUGUAAAAAAAAACACAAAAAAAGCUACACUAAAAUAUAAAACAGAAAACGUUGGUCUGUUUUCUUUUCUUCCGUAUUCUCCCUGCAACACACAUAUUCCAUUUUCUCACAAAAACAUUAUCUUUUUCAAUUUUCCUGGAAAAGUUCCACACCUCAUUUCCCCCACAUAAAUAAUCCCUUGCCUUCAAAUUUCCUUCUUUAUUUUUGGUUUUGCAUCAAGGUCUUAUCUUUUUAGCUGAAACUGAGCGUGCCUAUUAUUCUGUUCCUCUCUCAACUGGGAUUUCUUAAUACUUCGUUAAGGGCUGACAGCUUCUAGUUUUGAGGUGGUAAAGAUAAUAUAUCUUUUUUUCUAUUCCCAUUUUGGUAUCUGGGUUUUAAUUCUUUUUAGGUGUCUAAGAGCUUUUGUUUUGGAGUGCUUGUCAUAUCUGCUGUAUUUGAACUGGUUUUUGAAUCUUUAUUCAUAUUAAAAGUUGUAAAAAGUUUUAAGGUCUUUUUGGUGGUGGGAGCUUGCUUGUGGUUUUAGCUACUGGGGUUGAGCUUUUUUAAACUUGUGUAAGAAGUUAGUUCAGAACCAGGGUAGGGAUUUGUUUUCUUAGUCAGGGUUUCUGGAUUGAGUCACGUAAUAUAGUUGGGGUUGGAUUUGCAAUGGGGAAGCAUAGUGGAAAGCACAAGAAGCAAACAGGGGAUAGUAAUGUGAAGCAAAAGAAAGUUGGAGACAAGAGUUCGAAAUCAUAUGAUUCAGACACGGCAGUUUUCAUUGCCAUGUCUCAAGAACUGAAAGAAGAGGGGAACAAACUGUUUCAGAAAAGGGAUCAUGAAGGAGCAAUGUUGACAUAUGAGAAGGCUCUCAAAUUGCUCCCAAAGAAUCACAUAGAUGUAUGCCAUCUUAGGACUAAUAUUGCUGCAUGUUAUAUGCAGAUGGGAUUGAGUGAGUACCCCAAGGCUAUCCAUGAGUGUGAUUUGGCAUUAGAGGUUACUCCCAAGUAUAGCAAGGCACUUGUAAAGAGAGCCAGGUGUUACGAAUCUUUGAAUAGGCUGGAAUUAGCUUUCAGAGAUGUUAAUACAGUUCUUAACAUGGAGCCUAAUAAUGUCAUGGCAUUAGAGAUUUCAGAAAGGGUAAGAAGCUCACUUGAGAAAGAAGGUUUACCUGUUGAAUUGCCUCUAGAAUCCGUUGAACCUCCAAGUACUUCGAAAACUCCGAAAGUUGUUAAAGAGAAAACCAAGAAGAAGAUCAGCAAAGCUAAAGAAUCUGUUGAACCUCCAAGGGGUUCAUUAAUUUCGGAAGUUGUCCAAGAGAAAACAGAGAAGAAGAACAAGAAAAAGAUCAGUAAAGCUGAAGAAUCUGUUGAACCUCCAAGGAAUUCACAAAUUCCAGAAGUUGUCGAAGAGAAAACCGAGAAGAAGAACAAGAAGAAGAUCAGUAAAGCUAAAGAUAACAAGGCUGCGGAUCGAAUUGAGGAGAAGGAGGUUGAUGGAAAUGUAGAGGAAAAGAAGGCUGAGGAUAAACUGGUUAUAGAGGAGAAAAUUAGCAGUAAAGCGGAAGAACCAAAGAAGACUGUCAAGUUGAUUUUGGGUGAAGAUAUAAGAUGCGCUCAGUUACCACUUAAUUGCAGCCUUCUUCAACUAAGGGAAGUAAUUCAUGAUCGAUUUCCUAGUUUGAGAGCAGUUCUUGUCAAAUACAGAGAUGGAGAAGGUGAUUUAGUCACAAUCACCAGUGAUGAAGAGUUGAAAUUGGCUGAAAUAUCAGCAGAAUCCCAGGGUUCUGUGAGGCUGUAUGUUGUAGAAGUCAAUCCUGAGCAGGAUCCACUCUUCGAGAGAUUUAAGCAUGAGGAAGUUCACAUUCUUGACAUCAAACAAGGUAAGGCAACUGAAAAUGGCCAUGCCAGAAAAGUUGUGGAAACCAGAAAAGAAUCGUGUUGCAUUGAUGACUGGAUAAUUGAGUUUGCUCAACUAUUCAAGAACUAUGUUGGGUUUGAUUUAGACGCAUACUUGAAUCUCCAUGAGCUUGGUAUGAAGCAAUAUUCUGAGGCCAUGGAGGACAUAGUUACAAGUGAAGAGGCACAGGAUCUUUUCGACAUGGCUGCUGAGAAAUUCCAAGAGAUGACAGCAUUAGCAUUGUUCAACUGGGGAAAUGUUCACAUGUCCAGGGCAAGGAAGAGGGUAUACUUCACUGAAGAUGGUUCGAGAGAAUCUGUACUUAAGCAGAUCAAAAAAACCUAUGAUUAUGCACAAUUAGAAUAUAGCAAAGCUGGUAAGAGAUAUGAGGAAGCACUGAGAAUCAAGCCAGAUUUCUAUGAAGCUCAUCUAGCUCUAGCACAACAACAGUUUGAGCAGGGAAAACUUUCUUGGUAUUAUGCAAUUGGCAACAAUGUUGAUCUGGAAACAUGGCCUUCUGAGGUGGUCCUGCAGCUUUAUAACAAUGCUGAGGAAAAUAUGGAGAGGGGUAUGCAGAUGUGGGAAGAGUUAGAACAGCAGCGCCUGUGUGAGCUUUCUGAUUUGAAGGAUGAACAAAAGCAGUUGAAGAAAAUGGGAUUGGAUGGUUUACUGAAAGAUAUAACAGCAGAUGAAGCAGCAGAGCAGGCAAUCAACAUGAGUGCUCAGAUAAACAUUUUAUGGGGCACCAUACUUUACGAACGUUCGAACAUGGAAUUUAAACUAGGGCUACCUGUCUGGCAUGAAUGUUUGGAGGUUGCUGUUGAGAAGUUUGAGCAUGCUGGAGCUUCUCCCACUGAUGUAGCUGUUAUGGUAAAGAACCACUGUUCAAAUAACAUUGCUUUGGAAGGUUUAGGGUUUAAGAUUGACGAGAUAAUACAGGCAUGGAAUGAGAUGUAUGAAGCUAAAAAGUGGCAGAGCAAGAUUCCAUCAUGGCGACUAGAACCAUUACUUAGACGGCAAGUUUCCAAAAUUUAUCAUGCACUGGAGCAGGCAUAAGUUCCAUACUGUUUUGAUUGGGAUUUACAGGAGAAAGUUGGGUCAAAAGACCAUUGUUAAGUGCUUCAUAUUAUAUGAAGUGAUAUGAAGUACUGCAUUAAAGUUAGGUUUUAUUGCCAUUAUCUUUUACAUCAAGUAUCAGUCUUGAACUUUCAGAUUCAAUGGAGAGACUACUGGAUUGCUGAAAGUUGUGUGAUGUGAUUUUGAAGAAAUAGGUUCAGUUUACAUCAAUACAUGUGUUGGGGAGGAGUUGAAGCAUGAGAGCAGGGAUCCGAUGUUUUUUUUAUGCUUUCUGCUUUGGUCUUCAUCAGCUUCUCCCCUCAAAACAAGUAGGAAAAAACAUGCUGAAUUCAUUAGUUGCAAUAGUUACCUGAUUGACUUGUUAUUACUAGCUGCAUGUAUCUUAUACUGGUUUCAAGCAUAGGCUGUGUUCAUCAAGGAAGACGAGCUUUGUGUUCGGUUGAUGAUGAUCCUAGAUUUGGUGCUUGUAUUACUAUAAGGGAUUUAAGGAUUGUGAAUUUUUAUUUAUUUAUUUUUGGAAUAGCAAGUAUUGUGAACUUAUUUUCAGCUUUUGCUUCUACUCUUUGAUACUCAAACAUGUAUUUCUAAUUGGACCUGGGUGAACUCUUUUGUUACUUGAAAUCUGGUUUUUGUUUCACUACUAUGCUCUUAUAGUUAUGACACUAGUGGAUCGAAAAUCAUAAUUUACUCAAAUUUACCCCAAACUAAAUUUACAAAGUUCCACCUUUAAACAACUUGAACAAGUAAGACUCCUGAACAGCUCUAUUACCCGAAUAGAUGGAAUCUCAUACUUACCCCUCCCCUCAUUAUUUGCCUUCCGUUUCAAAUCUUCAGAAAGAAACUCGACAGGCAACGUGUACUAUUAAACAAGAAAUUUCUAUUAACAAAUCUUUUAAUUUUGUUUUUUCAAAACAAGAAAAGAGGAAAUGCCAAAUUCAGCAACCACACAUUUACAAUCACUUCAGUCCAUAGAAUUAGCACAAUUGUCCCUUCAUCCCAUUAGAAAGCAGCUUUUCACGUUUCAAUAUACACUUAUUUAGCUGUUGAGAUAGCUAUCCCCAGCUGAUAGCAGCUAUUUACGAUUACAGCAUAUGUUGCAGUUGUCCCCAAGCAUUUAUUCUGGUCGAAAGCUAACCAGAUUG